RNAcentral lists this ribosomal RNA (492 nucleotides) under uncultured bacterium. RNAcentral's name for it is "partial 16S ribosomal RNA". It matches the Rfam family "Bacterial small subunit ribosomal RNA", at positions 29 to 507 of the family's 1533-position model. The record is from RNAcentral.
AGUGAACGCUGGCGGUAGGCCUAACACAUGCAAGUCGAACGGCAGCACAGUAAGAGCUUGCUCUUACGGGUGGCGAGUGGCGGACGGGUGAGGAAUACAUCGGAAUCUACUUUUUCGUGGGGGAUAACGUAGGGAAACUUACGCUCAUACCGCAUACGACCUACGGGUGAAAGCAGUGGAUCUUCGGACCUUGCGCGAUUGAAUGAGCCGAUGUCGGAUUAGCUAGUUGGCGGGGUACAGGCCCACCAAGGCGACGAUCCGUAGCUGGUCUGAGAGGAUGAUCAGCCACAUGGGAACGGAGACACGGUCCAGACUCCUACGGGAGGCAGCAGUGGGGAAUAUUGGACAAUGGGGGCAAGCAUGAUCCAGCCAGACCGCGUGGGUGAAGAAGGCGUUCGGGUUGUAAAGCCCUUUUGUUGGGAAAGAAAAGCAGCAGGUUAAGACCCCGCUGUUCUGACGGUACCGAAAGAAUAAGCACCGGCUAACUUCGUG